Bos taurus (domestic cattle) is the source of this 1560-nucleotide long non-coding RNA. Lineage: Eukaryota; Metazoa; Chordata; Mammalia; Artiodactyla; Bovidae. The record is from Ensembl.
UUUGACAGGACAGGGAAGCCACCCUGUCUGGAACCAAUGCUAAGGCUGGAUCUGAAGUUGAUCCUUUAAUUGAGAACAGUCCUGGCUCAGUUUCUCACCAUGUGCCCUCAAACUCCUGGAAACCGAGGCCACAGAAGACUUUCACUCCGUCAGAACCUCCUGUGUGGCCAGCUGUCUGUUUUCAAGAGCUGCAAGUAGCAGCAGCACUGGGGGGACUUAGGGGAUCUUCCCUACCCAGGAUUGAAUCCGCAUCUCUGUGUCUUCUGCACUGGCAGGCAGAUUCUUUGCUACUGAGCCACCUGGGAAGCCCAGACAAAUUCAUAGACACUCAGUAAGAGUGAGGCCUUGACUGCACAACUCAAGUGCACAGAUUGCACUGAGGACUGGAGCAGUCCCAACAGCUUCCAGCAGAGGGCAGUGUCGGAGCGGAUCUGCGUCUCUCUACGGGGCCCUCAGGGGUUCGCUGCCUCACCAAUAGGAAUCUUUAAAUUGCUCUGAAAUUAGCAAGGGCUUCCCUGGUCAAAUUCCAGUGAGGGGAGAGUCUGUCCAGUCAGAGGAAAGACCGGGAACAAAGCCUGUUGCAGAGUGUGCUGCCCAGUGGGAAAGAAAACAGGGCCAAGGAGAAAGUAUCCUUGUGGAGUCUGUGUGUUAUGACUGCACAGGCGGAGAGAACUGAUCAAAGUAAGCCAGGAGCACAGAGGGUUUUCUCCAAGGCAAGCGUCGAUGUCUGCUUAAGUCUGGUCCACACACUUGAGAUGAAAGCUCGAGUUUCACAGAGGAAAUGUUAUUUACUGGGCAAAACAACAGGCAGGAUGGAAACAUGCAGUCCCCAAACUUAUUCUUUCGAUUUCAUCAAUCAUUCAAGCCAUGUCUCCUUUUGGGGAAAAAGAAAGUCCACGUGCCAGAGACACAGCUGCCUUUAGAGAGGAAACCCAGGAAACAACAGACAGUGCUGCUGGGUAGUUCCCCCUUCCUCUCACCCCAGGCCCAUCUGGGCCAGCAAGUCUGGCUUCCAUUGUUCCUUUGUUUAAUACUAUCCGUGUGGGAUUAACAAUAUCAUUAUGAAACCAGAGGAGCACUGACAGUGAAAUCCACAGAUCUGCAUAAACAUAUUGGUCCACAGACAACUGGAAUCUGAGUCAGUCUCUCAGCUCCCGUGCUAAGCUCUCUUAGCUUGUCCCUCUUCAUUCACCUCCACCAUUUCCUGCCCUGCUUUGUGCUGAGGAAGCUGCCUAGGUGAAGCAAAGCCACAUGCUUCCCUGACAAUCAGUUUCUAGUUUGGAUGGACCACUGAGAAGUGCCUGUAAGAAGGGAGGACUGAGUAUUUCUUCCCCAGGCUCCCUCCCUGCCUGCAGUUAGCAGAGUCUUCAUUCCUCUGCAGCUUCUGAGUCAUCCUAUAGUUACAGAAAUAAAUAACCACUCUCUCUUCUUCCCUUUUUAUGACGUGGGAAGUUAGAGAUUUCUGGAGAGCGUGGCUACUUCACUGCCUUUAAUCCCUCUUACACCCUUGGAAAUAGUUCCUUCAUUAAUUUAUCUUCAGUUAUCCCUUCUGAGUGUACC